AACGAACGCUGGCGGCAUGCCUAACACAUGCAAGUCGAACGAGACCUUCGGGUCUAGUGGCGCACGGGUGCGUAACGCGUGGGAACCUGCCCUUAGGUUCGGAAUAACUCCCCGAAAGGGGUGCUAAUACCGGAUAAUGUCUUCGGACCAAAGAUUUAUCGCCUUUGGAUGGGCCCGGGUUGGAUUAGCUAGUUGGUAGGGUAAAAGCCUACCAAGGCGACGAUCCAUAGCUGGUCUGAGAGGAUGAUCAGCCACACUGGGACUGGGACACGGCCCAGACUCCUACGGGAGGCAGCAGUGGGGAAUAUUGGACAAUGGGCGAAAGCCUGAUCCAGCAAUGCCGCGUGAGUGAUGAAGGCCUUAGGGUUGUAAAGCUCUUUUACCCGGGAUGAUAAUGACAGUACCGGGAGAAUAAGCUCCGGCUAACUCCGUG
RNAcentral lists this ribosomal RNA (433 nucleotides) under uncultured bacterium. Its description in RNAcentral is "partial 16S ribosomal RNA". It matches the Rfam family "Bacterial small subunit ribosomal RNA", at positions 29 to 507 of the family's 1533-position model. The record is from RNAcentral.